This 460-nucleotide ribosomal RNA is filed under the name uncultured bacterium. RNAcentral describes it as "partial 16S ribosomal RNA". It matches the Rfam family "Bacterial small subunit ribosomal RNA", at positions 338 to 795 of the family's 1533-position model. The record is from RNAcentral.
CCUACGGGAGGCAGCAGUGAGGAAUAUUGGUCAAUGGACGAGAGUCUGAACCAGCCAAGUAGCGUGAAGGAUGACUGCCCUAUGGGUUGUAAACUUCUUUUAUAUGGGAAUAGAAUGUUCCACGUGUGGGAUUUUGUAUGUACCAUAUGAAUAAGGAUCGGCUAAUUCCGUGCCAGCAGCCGCGGUAAUACGGAGGAUCCGAGCGUUAUCCGGAUUUAUUGGGUUUAAAGGGAGCGUAGGUGGAUUGUUAAGUCAGUUGUGAAAGUUUGCGGCUCAACCGUAAAAGUGCAGUUGAAACUGGCAGUCUUGAGUACAGUAGAGGUGGGCGGAAUUCGUGGUGUAGCGGUGAAAUGCUUAGAUAUCACGAAGAACUCCGAUUGCGAAGGCAGUUCACUGGACUGUAACUGACACUGAGGCUCGAAAGUGUGGGUAUCAAACAGGAUUAGAUACCCCAGUAGUC